GACGAACCGAGCGAACGUUAUUCGGAAUUACUGGGCGUAAAGCGCGCGUAGGCGGCUUUGCAAGUCGGGUGUGAAAUCCCCAGGCUUAACCUGGGAACUGCAUUCGAGACUGCAUUGCUAGAGUAUGGGAGAGGGAAGUGGAAUUUCCGGUGUAGCGGUGAAAUGCGUAGAUAUCGGAAGGAACAUCAGUGGCGAAAGCGACUUCCUGGACCAAUACUGACGCUCAUGUGCGAAAGCGUGGGGAGCAAACAGG
This 253-nucleotide ribosomal RNA is filed under the name uncultured bacterium. Its description in RNAcentral is "partial 16S ribosomal RNA". It matches the Rfam family "Bacterial small subunit ribosomal RNA", at positions 524 to 776 of the family's 1533-position model. The record is from RNAcentral.